Long non-coding RNA from Neopsephotus bourkii (Bourke's parrot), 2869 nucleotides. RefSeq lists it as uncharacterized. The transcript is spliced from 3 exons. The record is from RefSeq and is a predicted model, not a curated record. NCBI's taxonomy places the organism in Eukaryota, Metazoa, Chordata, Aves, Psittaciformes, Psittacidae.
AAAUGUCUGUAGGCUUUAAAACUGAUCAUGGUAUAUAGAUGCUAUGCAGUUGGGUGUAUGCUCUUGGGCUGGUUGCAUGCAGUUAGGUGUAGCAGUGUCUGAGCUUAUGAGAAAUCUUAGUGUUGGAGACUCUCAGGUUGUUGUUCCAUUGGAAUGAAGUACUUGUUGAGAAAUGGUUUGGGAUUAAGGAGUAAAGAACUGGUUUGUGCUGGUAAACAAAAGCUGAGAUAUGAGGUACGCCAUGCUUGUCCUGUGGCUCUAGAUGCAUAACACAGAAUGAGUGUGCUGAGAUUUCCACAGAGGAGUCUAGGAUGCUUUUAACCACAGUUACUGGAGUCACAAUUAUGUUUGUCUGGAGUGGUUUGAUUUUCCUCUGAUGAGUGGAAAGCUUUCACUGAUGAGUCCUAGUUCAUGCUAAAGAUGUUCCAUGGUAAGGGUGGGAGCAGGAGAGGAGGGGAGGUGAUAUGAUCCAGUCAAAAAUGGUGGCAGAAAUCGAUGUUAAUUUCUGAAAGAACUCUCACUUCUAAUUUCUUUUGUCUAUUUAAGCCAGUGAAAAAAAAGAAGAUAAAACGCGAGGUUAAGAUUCUGGAGAAUCUACGUGGUGGCACCAACAUCAUUAAUCUGGUUGACACUGUCAAGGAUCCAGUGUCAAAGACCCCUGCUCUGGUGUUUGAAUACAUCAACAACACAGAUUUUAAGAAAUCCCUGGCAUUUGGAGGAGGAGGAGGUUUAAAUUUGCACAGCAUCAGUAAGAUUUUAAUCCAACCCUGUCUAAUCCCUCACCAAUUCAGAGGAAACCCCUUGGCUGAUGGACACACAGAAGGGUAGCCCUGAAGGCAGGGAAGAUCUGAGCCCAUUGAAGUGUUGGGCUGGCUCCUAGUUGAGAGAUUCAAGGCUCCCUGUGCUCCCUGACAUCUCUCUGAGCUGGGAAGAUGAACAGAGACUGGAUACAGAGCUCCUGGUGACUCAGUGGGAGAGGCUGAAGUCAGCUGAAAACUGGCUGCCAUCCAAAACGCCUGGGACAAGCUGUUUAAACAGAUGUAACAGGGAUGGAGAUGGAUAUCUGUAUCAGCAGAUGCUCCUCCAGCCCCUCAGAAGGUGUUUGUAGGAUGAGCUGCCCGUGGCCAUUCUCAAGGCACCCCGUGGCCCAGCAGUGAAAGGUGCUGUGAAGCACAGAGCUGUGUUGGCCACUGCAGUUGGCCAAGGGGUAAUGAGGUUGAGGUCUGGAGUACCUGUGGGCACCUGCUGCCAUCCUGGGAAUUUAAGGUUGGGGGCAAACCUGGAUGUCUGGAUGAGGGUGGUGCUAACAAGACCCUGGUUCAACCUCCCUUGUAAUACCAGCACUGCUCCCAUGGGUGGUGGUUACAAGGAAUGCCAAGAAAACCCUUUCCAGGGCUAGCCUAGGUCCACUGCUGGCUGGUCCCCAGGACCUCCAGAGGUUGUCUCCAAGAUCCCUACCCUCUUGCAGCAUCUUGCAUGGACCUUGCAGGAUCUUGCAGUGUAGGAAAACUUGAGCUUCACACAACCUACAAGAAGCCUUGGAAAACCAACGUUGACAAAUAAAUAGCACUGAAAGGCAGGAUGGAGCAGCAGCAAGCCCUGACUCAUGCAUUCUGCCUUUGCAAGGAAGAUAUGGAAUGUUUUCCUUGGACUCCCCUGGAAGAUAUGCCCAGCAGGGAAGAGGAGCAAGUGCUAGCCUGGACACUAGACCACAGCCCUGCUCCUGGGAGCAGCCCCUGUGGGUUGAUGGGGAAACAUCCCAUUGAAGGCAGGUGAUGGGGUCCUCAGUGAUUCUGCAUGGGAAUGUUUUGGGAAGGGCCAGUUCUGAAUGGCGUGUCUUGUGCAGUUGCCCAAAGGAGAUUGUGAAUGCUCCAUCCCUGGCAGUGUUCAAGGCCAGGUUGCACACAAGGGCUUGGAGCAAGCUGCUCUAGUGGAAGGUGUCCCUGCCCGUGGCAGGGGGUUGGAACUGAAUGAGCUUUAAGGGCCCUUCCAACCCAAACCAGUCUGGGAUUCUGUGAUUCUGUGAUUCUAUGACCUUGGGAGUUGAGGCUGUUAUAUCCCCAACUGUGGAAAACAUGAAUUAAAGCAGUACUAAGAAAGUACAGAAGAAGGAACAGUGGCAGGAUGGGCUUGCCCAGCAUGGAGGCAAGUCGGAAUUAGCCCUUGCUCUAGGGGCAGGCUGGUGCCCUCUGUCCUUGCUGGACAAGCUGUCCCAAUUCAGAAAAAAGCCUUGCUUCAUAUCCUGCCACCUUGGGAGCCCCAGGCUCCUUUAGAAACUUGGGCACCCUUACAAGGGUGGUGGGCAAACCUCCUCAAACUGGCUGCCCUGCAGAGCUGGUGGCCCCUGACAAUGCAGGAUCAUAGCCAGGACAGAGGGGGCAACCACCAGCAUCCGUACCUCACACAGAAGAUGAGGGUCCUGCAUCUUCCCUACUGUGGGACCAGCACUCUCCAACCACCCCCACGGUGGUGUUCACAGCCACUGGUUUUGCCUGACCUAAAUGGCCACCCCACAGCCUCCUGCUCUACCCCAAAUAGCUGCCACCCCAGCAUCAAAUAUGUGGGGGAUCAUCACUCCUCCAGUAUGGCCUCCACUCCUGGGUGGUACUUCAGACACCAUGGUUAUCACCAUCCUCACUCCCUGGCACCCCCCAGACCAUCAUGACCCUACUGUGGGGACCUUCAUUGCACAGGUCCAUCUUCUCCUGGCACCACCUGGGAUCCUUGACCAUGACCAACCUAUGCUCAGGGGAACCUGCACCCCCCUGCUCCAGAGGACACCCAGGUGCCUUGUCAUCCUUACUCUUGUUUCUGGGUGCUCUCAGCUCCUUUGUCCUACAUGCCCCCACUCCCCAGACUCCCUAGAUCU